RNAcentral lists this ribosomal RNA (253 nucleotides) under uncultured bacterium. RNAcentral describes it as "partial 16S ribosomal RNA". It matches the Rfam family "Bacterial small subunit ribosomal RNA", at positions 524 to 776 of the family's 1533-position model. The record is from RNAcentral.
UACGUAGGGUGCAAGCGUUAAUCAGAAUUACUGGGCGUAAAGCGUGCGCAGGCGGUUAUGUAAGACAGAUGUGAAAUGCCCGGGCUUAACCUGGGAACUGCAUUUGUGACUGCAUGGCUAGAGUUUGGCAGAGGGGGGUAGAAUUCCACGUGUAGCAGUGAAAUGCGUAGAUAUGUGGAGGAACACCGAUGGCGAAGGCAGCCCCCUGGGUCAAGACUGACGCUCAUGCACGAAAGCGUGGGGAGCAAACAGG